This 3046-nucleotide long non-coding RNA is filed under the name Gallus gallus (chicken). Lineage: Eukaryota; Metazoa; Chordata; Aves; Galliformes; Phasianidae. The record is from RNAcentral.
GUUGUGUGUGUGCGUGGGGUACAGGGCGUGUUGGGUGCAUAGGACACAUUGUGUGCAGGACAUGUUGGGUUUAGGAUGCACUGUGUGUAGGAUGCAUUGGGUAUCGGGGGUGUUGGGUGUAGGACAUGGUGGGGGGGGAUGCGUUGGGUGUUGGGUGUAGGAUGGGAUGGGUGUGGGCCGCCUUGGCUGCACGCAGGCAGCAGCGCUGCCCUCUCAGUUCUCACUCCUGGCAGAGCCCGGAGUCUGCUCUGCUCCCCGCUUGCUGUGAGAGUGAAAGGAGGACGUGGCAAGCUGGAGUUGCUAAUCAAAGCAUUGCAAAAUGCACUCCAGUUUCAUUUCAGGAGAGCUGGGAAAGGUGCUGCCGUCUUCGCAGCGCCCAGGACGAACGCAGCUGCUCAGGCUGGGAAUGCUCUUUUCGUAGGGCGCUCUGCGUUGCCUUCUGCUCCCCUUUCCACAUUCAGUCCGGACAAUGGGAUCUUUCCUCGGUCACCCCGGGCGGAUGCGGGAUGGGUUGCCCAGAGGGGUUGUGGAUGCCCCAUCUCUGGAGGCGUGCAAAGCCAGGUUGGAUGUGAUCCUGGGCAGCCUGAUCUAAUGGCUGGCAGCCCUGCCCGUGGCAGGGGGCUGGAGCUAAGUGAUCUUUGAGGUCCACUCCAACCUGAGCCGUUCCAUGAGCAGCACACGCAGAUAGCCCAUAAUCUCUGCUGCAGCGCGACGGAGCCGCAGUGCAGCUUGGAGAAGGUUAAGUGAUAAAAAAAUAUGGCAGACACGGUAAGUAUUUGGCAUGUUCCAUGCAACAAAAGAUGAACAACGGCAACUGGGACGUUAUCUUUAUUUGCUAAAAAUAGAGUCCUGCAAAGUUGAAAAGAAAAGCGCUUUAUGCCUGUAAACCUCUCCUGUGGCUUUAUCAGAGCCUUCCAAGAUUUAUGUGGCUUUACCGGAGCCUUCCGUGAUGAGCUUCGUGGCUUUGGGGUGCCGUGUCUGCACUCAAAGGCUGCCCAGGGUUCAGGCAAGUGGAACUCAAUACAAAUCAGCUUCAGCAAGGAGGGAAUCAAUGGCUCUGAGCCAAAGCUGCUUUUCUUGUUCCCCUCAGCGGAGGGUCCAUCCCCAGCAGCCCCAUACCGAGCCCGCGAUGCCCGCAGCGUGCCCAGGUGCUUGGGAUGCGAGCACAGCGCAGUGCAGGGUGGGCAGGGAGCUGGUGGCUGUGAGCUGGCCGUGCUGCUGAGGUAUGCAGGCAUUUGAUACCGUGCAGCUGCCGGUGCUCGCCGAGCCGCUGCCUUCCCAGCAGUGCUUGUCCUGUGUGCUCGCUUCCCCUGGUACCCUGUUAAAAAAAAAUCCCCUCAUUCUGCCUCGCUGCAGUUCCAGCUGCAGAGAUACCAACUCGUGGGGUUUUGGCCAACGCUGCUGUAUCUUGAGAUGUUUGCAUGCCGGUGCUGGAACACAUUUUGCAAUGGAGUAGCAAGGGAGCCACUGGUUUGACCCUGCGAGCGGAGAGGAUGAUGUGAUGUUCCACACCAGCUAAAUAGAGGCAGAACAAUAGGGCUAUUUUUGUGGAUGGAGCUCGCAGGGCUCCCCAGGGAGUCCAGCCCCCUCGCUGGCCCAUCCUGCUAGAGGAAAACAAGGCAGAGCUCCUGCACCCUGCCUUCUCCGUCAUAGGAAUACCAGCUUGAGCAAGGGCAUGAAAGAAAUCUAUUGUCUCCGAGGCUGCAUUUCAAUGUGAAAUGCUCUGCUAAGGCCAGCAAUCUUAAACCCUCCACAUGUGUGCCUAUUGUUUGAAGUGCAGAACAAUUGAGGGGUGCUCUCAUGGGCUAAAGAUAGCGAUGCAGCUGGUGCUGUCCUUUUCCCUGUAACUGAGAAUAAAACAAUGCCCAAGUAUUGUCUGCAUGACUGGAGCGAUGACAUUGGACUCUCUGCCAAGGGAGCAUCUAAAAGAUCAAUGAAACCCGAGUUAUUUAUAAACGAGUAGUGUCAUUUCUUCCCCAAAGUAAUUUCACUUCCUUAGCUCUUCCACCAGGCCUUUCUGUGCCGUGGAGCAGCCAUGGAGUGAGGUAUAAAUAGCACUGAACCGGGCUGUGAGUGAUCCAGUGGGACCUGGAAAACCAAACCAUCCCCUUCCACCUGAGGUUGGCUGUGCUGUCACUGCCCAGAGUGGAGCACAAGCUCCAGGAUGGGGAUGUGCACACAUGCCCCCCAGCAGCCUGCCCUGGACCAUGGCCAUGGAUGCUCAUCCCCUUCUCCUUGGCUCGCCAGCAGCCACCACACUGACCAUGUAUAGGAUUGUAGAAUAGAAUCAUGGAAUCACUAAGGUUGGAAAAGACCACUAAGAUCUGGGCUAACCAAUCCACCACCACCACACCCUCUAAACCACGUCCCCAAGUGCCACAUCUACCCUUUUCUUGAAAACCUCCAGGGACAGUGACUCCACCACUUCCCUGGGCAGCCUGUCCCAAUGUCUCACCACUCUUUCUUAGUGGACCCAUUGACCCAGGGUCCCUGCAGCACCAGGAUCUGCUCCCCGGGCUGCUUUCUGGGAGGUUUAUUUCACUCAGCAGCCAACAAACAGGUGACAGUUCAGGCUGUGUCCAGUUCUGCUGCUGCACAGGUUGCUCAGGGUAGCCCCAUAGCCCAAAAGGCCGUGGGACUUUCCUGGUCCCAGAGGACUUGUAAAGGAAAGCUGCUUUCUGCAAGCUGCUGUCCUACCAGGGUGCAUCCAGACUGGAAACCUGGAAUUAGGCAUAGACACCAAUCUGGAGAAAUAAAAGCUCAGCUUGGAUCCCAGGUUGGAGCAGGGUGCACCAACUGUGGGGGACAGCAGCAGCCCCUCAAAGUGCUGUGGAUACUGAGCAAAAGCUGGGAGGUGCCACCAGACAUUUCUGGGUCUUCUGUCACCCAGCCAAGGUGCUGAGUGUGUGUCCUCAGCACAGGCCUGGGCAAGACCCUGCCACAGCCUUUUGCGUGGGUCUGGGACACCAGCAGAUGUGAAGGAUCUGCUUCCCUGGCCAAGAAGGAGAAGUCCUGGCUGGUCACCACCAUCUCCUUCUGUCUUCAC